RNAcentral lists this long non-coding RNA (400 nucleotides) under Salmo salar (Atlantic salmon). Its description in RNAcentral is "lncRNA (ENSSSAG00000118700.1)". The record is from RNAcentral. Lineage: Eukaryota; Metazoa; Chordata; Actinopteri; Salmoniformes; Salmonidae.
GGAACUGGUUAUUUUGGAGGUGGUGGAACUGGUUAUUUUGGAGGUGGUGGAACUGGUUAUUUUGGCGGUGGUGGAACUGGUUAUUUUGGUGGUGGUGGAAUUGGUUAUUUUGGAGGUGGUGGAACUGGUUAUUUUGGCGGUGGUGGAACUGGUUAUUUUGGUGGUGGUGGAAUUGGUUAUUUUGGAGGUGGUGUAACUGGUUAUUUUGGAGGUGGUGGAACUGAUAAUUUUGGAGGUGUUGGAACUGGCUUUUUUGGAGGUGGUGGAACUGGUUAUUUUGGAGGUGGUGUAACUGGUUAUUUUCGAGGUGGUGGAACUGGUUAUUUUGGAGGUGGUGGAACUGGUUAUUUUGGAGGUGGUGGAACUGGUUAUUUUGGGGGUGGUGGAACUGGUUAUUUUG